GAUGAAGAACGUAGCAAAAUGCGAUACUUGGUGUGAAUUGCAGAAUCCCGUGAACCAUCGAGUUUUUGAACGCAAGUUGCGCCCGAAGCCUUUUGGCCGAGGGCACGUCUGCCUGGGCGUCACGCAUCGCGUCGCCCACUCCCACAAUUCUCCGCAAUGGGAACUUGUGUUUUGGGGGCGGAUAUUGGUCUCCCGUGCUCAUGGCGUGGUUGGCCGAAAUAGGAGUCCCUUCGAUGGACGCACGAACUAGUGGUGGUCGUAAAAACCCUCGUCUUUUGUUUCGUGCCGUUAGUCGCGAGGGAAACUCUUAGAAAACCCCAGCGUGUCGUCUUGUGACGGCGCUUCGACCGCGACCCCAGGUCAGGCGGGACUACCCGCUGAGUUUAAGCAUAUCAAUAAGCGGAGGA
RNAcentral lists this unclassified non-coding RNA (407 nucleotides) under soil metagenome. RNAcentral describes it as "partial contains 5.8S ribosomal RNA, internal transcribed spacer 2, and large subunit ribosomal RNA". The stretch from base 1 to 122 matches the Rfam family "5.8S ribosomal RNA", at positions 35 to 154 of the family's 154-position model. The record is from RNAcentral.